This 485-nucleotide ribosomal RNA is filed under the name uncultured bacterium. RNAcentral describes it as "partial 16S ribosomal RNA". It matches the Rfam family "Bacterial small subunit ribosomal RNA", at positions 27 to 507 of the family's 1533-position model. The record is from RNAcentral.
GAUUGAACGCUGGCGGCAGGCCUAACACAUGCAAGUCGAGCGGAUGAAGGGAGCUUGCUCCUGGCUUCAGCGGCGGACGGGUGAGCAAUGCCUAGGAAUCUGCAUGGUAGCGGGGGAUAACGUCCGGAAACGGGCGCUAAUACCGCAUACGUCCUGAGGGAGAAAGUGGGGGAUCUUCGGACCUCACGCUAUCAGAUGAGCCUAGGUCGGAUUAGCUAGUUGGUGGGGUAAAGGCCUACCAAGGCGACGAUCCGCAACUGGUCUGAGAGGGUGAACAGUCACACUGGAACUGAGACACGGUCCAGACUCCGACGGGAGGCAGCAGUGGGGAAUAUUGGACGAAGGGCGAGAGCCUGAUCCAGCCAUGCCGCGGGUGUGAAGAAGGUCUUCGGAUUGUAAAGCACUUUAAGUUGGGAGGAAGGACAGUAAGUUAAUACCUUGCUGUUUUGACGUUACCAACAGAAUAAGCACCGGCUAACUUCGUG